CUGCCCUUAGUUGCCACUCUUCGGAGGGCACUCUAAGGGGACCGCCGGCGAUGAGCCGAGGAAGGUGGGGAUGACGUCAGGUCAGUAUGCCCUUUAUGCCCGGGGCUACACAGGCGCUACAGUGGCCAGGACAAUGGGAAGCGACCCAGUAAUGGGGAGCAAAUCCCUAAACCUGGUCAUGGUGCAGAUUGAGGGCUGAAACUCGCCCUCAUGAAGCCGGAAUCGGUAGUAAUGGCGGAUCAGCUAAGCCGCCGUGAAUACGUUCUCGGGCCUU
RNAcentral lists this ribosomal RNA (274 nucleotides) under uncultured bacterium. RNAcentral describes it as "partial 16S rRNA". It matches the Rfam family "Bacterial small subunit ribosomal RNA", at positions 1105 to 1382 of the family's 1533-position model. The record is from RNAcentral.